CAAAGCAUGGCUCAAGGGGUAGAGCACAUGUCUUACAAACGUCAGGUCCUGAGUUCAAACCCCAGCACUGUAA
Molecule: transfer RNA, 73 nt
Filed under: Dipodomys ordii (Ord's kangaroo rat)
Lineage: Eukaryota; Metazoa; Chordata; Mammalia; Rodentia; Heteromyidae
Rfam family: tRNA
About the family: Transfer RNA (tRNA) molecules are approximately 80 nucleotides in length. Their secondary structure includes four short double-helical elements and three loops (D, anti-codon, and T loops).
Source: Rfam by way of RNAcentral